This is a long non-coding RNA of Cylas formicarius (sweet potato weevil), 622 nucleotides long. RefSeq lists it as uncharacterized. The transcript is spliced from 3 exons. The record is from RefSeq and is a predicted model, not a curated record. NCBI's taxonomy places the organism in Eukaryota, Metazoa, Arthropoda, Insecta, Coleoptera, Brentidae.
GUAAGGCAGGGCUGUGUUGUGAGUCCACUUUUGUUUAACAUCUAUGGCGAGUGUAUAAUUCGUAAAGCCACAGAAAGUUGGGAAGGAGGUAUCUCUGUGGGUGGUAGGACGAUUAAUAAUCUUAGCGAGUCGAGACGGCUAGCCGCGAGGCAGGACUGACCAUUAACAGAUUAAAGACAAAGAUAAUGAUUAUCGAUCAAUCAAGAAAUAAUAGAUAGAGUUCGUGUAUCUUGACUCUUUCAUAACGAAUUCAGGGGGGGUCCACGGCGAAAUUAAAAAGCGGUCAGCGGUUGCCAAAAAAGCCAUGGCUAUGUUGAGCAGGAUCUCUAAGAGUCGAGAUAUAGCCCUGUCUACAAAGAAGAGACUCGUCACAACCUUGGUAUUCUCAAUUUUCCUUCAUGCAUCGGUGUGCUGCACACUCAAGGGGAAGUAGGAGCAGCAAUAAAAACAUGAAUUGCACGGCGAAACAAAUUGAAAACAUAUUUAUAUCCCGCUUGAUAGUGUAGGUAGAUAAAGUUCUAGGACGUUCCUCAAAUGGUUACGGGUAAAGGUCUGCUAGGCAGGGUGUUCUAUAAGGGGCUGUGGUUUCGGAGCAAUAAACAGUAGGCAAAGUUAAUGACGA